AUGCAACGCGAAGAACCUUACCUACUCUUGACAUCCAGAGAACUUUCCAGAGAUGGAUUGGUGCCUUCGGGAACUCUGAGACAGGUGCUGCAUGGCUGUCGUCAGCUCGUGUUGUGAAAUGUUGGGUUAAGUCCCGCAACGAGCGCAACCCUUAUCCUUGUUUGCCAGCGAGUAAUGUCGGGAACUCCAGGGAGACUGCCGGUGAUAAACCGGAGGAAGGUGGGGACGACGUCAAGUCAUCAUGGCCCUUACGAGUAGGGCUACACACGUGCUACAAUGGCGCAUACAGAGGGCGGCCAACUUGCGAAAGUGAGCGAAUCCCAAAAAGUGCGUCGUAGUCCGGAUUGGAGUCUGCAACUCGACUCCAUGAAGUCGGAAUCGCUAGUAAUCGUGGAUCAGAAUGCCACGGUGAAUACGUUCCCGGGCCUUGUACACACCGCCCGUCACACCAUGGGAGUGGGCUGCAAAAGAAGUAGGUAGUUUAACCUUCGGGGGGACGCUUACCACUUUGUGGUUCAUGACUGGGGUGAAGUCGUAACAAGGUAGCGCUAGGGGAACCUGGCGCUGGAUCACCUCCUUA
Molecule: ribosomal RNA, 580 nt
Filed under: Vibrio parahaemolyticus
Lineage: Bacteria; Pseudomonadati; Pseudomonadota; Gammaproteobacteria; Vibrionales; Vibrionaceae
Description: bacterial SSU rRNA
Rfam family: Bacterial small subunit ribosomal RNA
Source: RNAcentral